This 446-nucleotide ribosomal RNA is filed under the name uncultured bacterium. Its description in RNAcentral is "bacterial SSU rRNA". It matches the Rfam family "Bacterial small subunit ribosomal RNA", at positions 355 to 796 of the family's 1533-position model. The record is from RNAcentral.
UCGAGGAUCUUCGGCAAUGGGCGCAAGCCUGACCGAGCGACGCCGCGUGUGGGAUGAAGGCCCUUGGGUUGUAAACCACUGUCAGAGGGGAUGAAGUGCAGGUGGGUAAUCUCAUCUGUUUGACAUAGCCUCAGAGGAAGCACGGGCUAAGUUCGUGCCAGCAGCCGCGGUAAUACGAACUGUGCAAACGUUAUUCGGAAUCACUGGGCUUAAAGGGUGCGUAGGCGGUCGUUUAAGUAGGGUGUGAAAGCCCUCGGCUCAACCGAGGAAUUGCGCCCUAAACUGGAUGGCUGGAGUGAGAUAGGGGUGUGUGGAACUUCCGGUGGAGCGGUGAAAUGUGUUGAUAUCGGAAGGAACGCCGGUGGCGAAAGCGACACACUGGGUCUCAACUGACGCUGAGGCACGAAAGCCAGGGGAGCAAACGGGAUUAGAUACCCCCGUAGUCC